GUAAUAAGGAAGGUAAACAAAAUGGAUGCUGCUGAACCCUUCAAUGUUCCUGUUAAUCCUGAAGCUCUGGGAAUUCCUGCCGGAGUAGAGGAUGCUGCAUUAUCUGGUGAUGGAAAAGUAGCGAAGGGUGGUCAAGCGAAGCAGAAGUCAAUGAAACGUCAUGAGUAUAGUAUUGAGCAAGAGUAUACUGUUACAGAAAGACAUUAACUGGUGGCUUCCUUGGACCACAGAGGAUCACAGAAAUUGCUGGAGUGGUUGUUUCAUUUGAUCCCAAGCCUAUCCAGGUGAGAAAUGAUC
Molecule: long non-coding RNA, 297 nt
Organism: Arachis stenosperma
Lineage: Eukaryota; Viridiplantae; Streptophyta; Magnoliopsida; Fabales; Fabaceae
Exons: 4
Source: RefSeq, a predicted model, not a curated record